AUGCCAAGAGCAAAUGAAGGAAAACACAAAUCUAAAGGGGCUCCCCUGCCCAUCGUUUUGAUUCUUCAAAAGUUUCUGAAAACGUAUGAGAAGCACUGUGCGCAGUCUCAGACGUCUGUGUGUCCAGCCAUCAAAAGUGACCUGAAAAGCAGCAUUGACAGUGACCAGGUGCUCAGGAAGUUUAUGCUUGUAAGAUCUGAUGACUCCCCACCAAGAAUCCUACCAGUUUCCUUGGAACCUUUGCUCAUGACAAUUCAAGAUGAGUGUUACACACUGGCGAAAGAGAUCUGCAUCUGGGGCCUUCCACUGAGCAACCCAGAGAUUGCCAGACUUGCUUUGCUUCUGGAAUCGAAGGGGCACACCACCUGCCCGUUUACCACCCUAGAAAUCAUUGAUUGCAAAAUGGAUCUGUGGUCUCUAGAGCGACUUGGGAAGGCUCUGCGGUUCAGUAGUUUGCGUUCUCUUGUCCUCGAUUACUGCAAAUUUGGAAAGGAAGAACUUGAGAGCAUUUUCUCGGGCCUGGAGAACAACCAAAGGCUUCAAGGCCUCAGUCUGCGUUAUUGUGGUCUGGGAUCUCAGAGUGGACUAAGGCUGGGUUCGGUCCUCAGCCAGAGUGCCAUUUGCGAGCUGUACCUUGAAGGCAAUUACUUGGAAUGUUCUGGAGCACUGGCUCUUCUCAGGCCCAUAGCAGACUUUGCGGAGACACAGGGGAAAGACCAGCUAACCCCAGGCUCACCAGACGCUGGACAUCCCCCUCAGCGGCUCCAAGCCAAACAGAGAGGAAGUUCAACUUUGAACCAGAUUACAAAAUCGUCUGAAGCUGUAACAGUGAAAACUACUUCAGGGAAGAAAAAGAGGAAAAAAGGAAUCAAGAAGAAAAUGGAAGGUCUGAUGGAAGCUGGUCCUUGGUUAGUGAAGUUGCAUUUGGCAGAUAAUGGCAUAGAUGGAAAAGGAAAAGAAGGAGAAAAUGGUUUGUCGGAAUUCAUUCAAACUUUAACAUGCCUGAUCAAAUACUCUGCCCACUUAAGGGAAAUUGACCUUGGAAACAAUGUUCUGGGAGAAAUGGCUGCUGCUGAAAUACUUGAAGCACUGAGAGCCAGAAAGACAGGUAAACUACCGGUCUUAAAAAUUACAGUCACUCCCCAGAUCUCUUCAGAUACCUUCAGAUCAAUUUGGAAAAAUAGCAAGAAGUCUAAUACUAUCCGUAAAAAGAAGAAAAAGACUAAAAACUGAAUAUGGGUGCUGUAUUUCCAUAUGGAUAUCAUCUAUUUCCACGGCCAAGCAGACAUGCCUAGAUAGAUAUUGCUUAUUCUAUAGUAAUAUUUUUCACUGUAACCAAGUCCCUUUCAAGUUCUCAAAUUUGAUGAUUAUUGUAUGAAAGUUUAAAGUAAUGUGAUAAUCCUAGCUUAUGAUGAUCCCAUCACACUUGUCAUUUUCUAAAAUGUGGGUUUCACAAGUAAGCCUUAGUAGAAAGAGAUGCAGUUCUCUGAGGCUUCAUCUCUCCUGUAUAUGAAAUUUAUAAGUUGAAGUAAGUCAUAAUUUUAUCUAAGAAAGAAAGAAUCCUCUUUCAUAAAUAUACCUAUAGUUGAGAACAAUAAGAAUGCUUGGAAAUAAUAACCACUUCCUAAAAGACACCAUCCCUAAAAAUGAGGAUCUUCCCUAAAUGAGGAAACUUUUUUUUUAAGAUGGGGUCUUGCUCUGUUGCCCAGGCUGGAGUGCAAUGGUGCAAUCUCAGCUCAUUGCAAACUCUGCCUCCUGCAUUCAAGCGAUUCUCCUGUCUCAGCCUCCUGAGUAGCUGGGAUUAUAGGCGUGCACCACCACGCCUAGCUGAUUUUUUGUAUUAUUAGUAGAGACAGAGUUUCACCAUGUUGGCCAGGCUGGUGUCGAACUCCUGAUCUCAGGUGAUCCACCUGCCUUGGCCUCCCAAAGUGCUGGGAUUACAGGCGUGAGCCACCGCACCCGGCCAAAUGAGGAAACUUCAAAUCCCUCUGCCCCACCAUGAAGAUGCAACACAGCCCCGUGAGAGAUGGAAGAGGUGUGGUUGAUUGAUGUACGGAUGACAGUGGGUGAGUUGGGUUUUAUAUGCCACAACAAUACGGUGCAGGAUGAAGAGCAUGGCCUGGGCAGUUAGAUGAACCAGAAGUCUCUGUAGAGGAAUUGCCACUUUCCAGGUACUGAGCCUGGGCAAGUCAGUUCACCUCAUGCUCCUCAGUUUCCUCUUGUAACUGAGGAACUUACUAUAUGUAAGAUAUAGUUAAGAGGAGCAGGGCUGGGUGCAGUGGCUCAUGCCUGUAAUCCCAGCAAUUUGGGAGGCUGAGACAAAAGGAUCGCUUGAGGCCAGGACUUCAAGACCAACCUGGGCAACAUAGUGAGACCCCCUAUCUCUACAAAAAAUUGAAAAAUUAACCAGCUGUGGUGGCAUGUGCCCGUAGGCCUCGCUAUUUGAAAGGCUGAGGCAGGGGGAUUGCUUAAGCCCAGCAGGACAGCGCUUCAAUGAGCUAUGAUUGCACCACUGUACUCCAGCCUGGGUGAGGAAGUGAGACCCUACCUCAAAAAAAAAAGGAAAAAAAAAACAGUAGUGCCUAUCUCAAUUGGUGAGCAUUGAAUGAGACCACACACGUCAGGCAUUUUAGAACAAUGCCUUGUUCAUAUUAUAUACUCAAAAAUAAAUAUGAGUGGCUCUUAUUAUUGCUGCUAUCAUUGUGGAUGUUAUAGAAUUGAGUGGUUCCAGUUAUUUCACCUAUGACAACCACACAAGAAACAUUGGAAAGAAAUGAAAAAAAGAAGACUUAAGACCUCUUCGCUUUGAAGUAAAAAUAAAAAACAAAAAAACAUUUAACAAGUGCUAGCAAGUUUGUGGAAUCAAACUAACUGUGGGGUAAGAAUGGCAUAGUAAAUUAGCUCCACUCUCCAGGGUCUUAGGAUCUAGUUAAGAAGACAAGAUCUUCGGCCAGGCGCGGUGGCCCACACCUGUAAUCCCAGCACUUUGGGAGGCUGAGGCAGGUGGAUCACGUGAGGUCAGGAGUUUGACACCAGCCUGGCCAAUGUGGAGAAACCUCAUCUCUACUAAUAAUACAAAAAUUGGCCAGGUGUGGUGGCACAUGCCUGUAAUACCAGCUACUAGGGAGGCUUAGGCAGGAGAAUCGCUUGAACCCAGGAGGCGGAAGUUGCAGUGAACUGAGAUUGCACCAUUGCACUCCAGCCUGGGCAACAAGAACAAAACUCCAUCUCCCCCCCCCAAAAAAAAAAAACCAAGAUUUUCUUGCAUUAAAAGUCAACAAUAAAGUAUAUGAGUUGGAAAAAUAUGCGUCAUUAGGCAGGAUAAGAAAGGCCAUAGGACCAUGGAGUAACAAGAUCAAUGUAACAAAUGUAUCAGAACUGAUGGAUCCAAUAUGUGAGAGCUCCUGAGAACUGUUCCUGCUUAAAAGAAAUGCAAAUAGGCUGGGCGGGCGCGGUGGCUCACGCCUGUAAUCCCAGCACUUUGGGAGGCUGAGAUGGGUGCAUCACGAGGUCAGGAGAUCGAGACCAUCCUGGCCAACAUGGUGAAACCCCGUCUCUACUAAAAAUACAAAAACUAGCUGGUCAUGGUGGCGCAUGCCUGUAAUCUCAGCUACUCGGGAGGCUGAGGCAGGAGAAUGGCUUGAACCAGGGAGUUGGAGGUUGCAGUGAGCCGAGAUCGCGCCACCGCACUCCAGCGUGGUGAAAGAGCAAGACUCCAUCAAAAAAAAAAAAAAAAAAAGAAAGAAAGAAAGAAAAGAAAAGAAAAAGAAAAGAAAAUUUAAAAAGACCUUUUUUGAAAUUUGCCACACAUAUCCACUGGGUGGGAGUGUACAAUCAGUAUACCCCUUUAGCGGGUCUUUUGGCAGUGUUUAUUAAAAUGAAAAAUACAUAGCUUUCGACCCGGCCAUUCUGCUUUUAGAAAUUUGUUUACUGUCACAUGUGUGCAAGGAAAUACAUAUGAGGAUGUUCACUGCAGCACUCUUUAUUUUACAUGGGGAAUAACUAAAUUUUUCUCAAAGAGUUUCGGGAGAAUAAAUCACAGUAAAUGUAUGUGGUAGAAUACUAUGCAAUCAUUGAAAGAAUAAUGUGGAUACGUAAGUGCUUAUAUGGAAAGGCAUUCAAGUAACACCAUUUUUAAAAACAGGUAUAGAAUAUGUGAAAAAUUCAUACAAAAAUGAAUUGACGUAGUAUAAUCCAGCAAUUUCACAUGUUUGUAUGUAUCUAAAAGAACUGAAUGUAGCGUCAUUAAGAGAUAUUUGAACACCAUGUUCAAAACAGCAUCAUUUACAAUAAAUCAAAGGUGGAAGUAGCCCAAAUGUCCAUGGAGAGAUGACUGGAUAAAUUAAAUGUGAUAUAUACAUAAAAUGGGAUAUUGCUCGGCCUUAAAAACGAAGGAAAUUCUGACACAUGCUACAACAUGGAUAAACCUUUAAGGAUAUUAUGCUAAGUGAAUAAGUCAGUCACAAAAAUACAAAUACUGCAUGCCUCCACUUAGAUACUUACAGUAGUCAAAAUCAGAGACGGAAAGUAGAAUGGUGGUUGAGAGGAUGUAUGAGGAGGGAGUUAUUGUUUAAUAGGUACAGAGUUUCAGUUUUGCAAGAUGAAAAAGUUUUGGAGAUUGUUUGCACAACACUGUGAACAUACUAAACACUGCUGAACUGUACACUUAAAAAUGGUUAAGAUGGUAAAUAUUUUGCAUAUUUUACCACAAUUUAAAAUUUUUUUAAAAAUUGAUGCAUUGUGUGUCUGCUUGUACAUAUACAGGAAUUUCUGGAGAGUCUAUUAAUAGUACUUGGGUUUUUAUUGUAUUCCUGUUUUACUGUUUUUAUCAUUUGUGAGCUGUCAAUUUUUAAAAACUUAAAAUUGUUCAAUAAAUUAUGAUGAGCUUGUUAAACAUCAGUAACAGCACUCUUUGCUUGCUGUGUGACCUGGUGCCAAAAGUGCAGAAGAAGCGCAGUAAAUCCUGUGAUUUCCUGGGAGGACAUGAAUAUGUGGUGGCAAAGAGUGGCCAGCGAGAACACAAAGAUGAGUACAUUUUUUCUAAGCA
Molecule: long non-coding RNA, 5047 nt
Filed under: Macaca mulatta (Rhesus monkey)
Lineage: Eukaryota; Metazoa; Chordata; Mammalia; Primates; Cercopithecidae
Description: lncRNA (ENSMMUG00000056024.1)
Source: RNAcentral